GGGGAAGGACGCCGGGCGGGCACACUUGGGAGACGUGGUGGCGGUGACCAUCGCUCGCGAUCGCCGGUCGCCGUCCAACACGCCCUAACACUCCUCGGCAGAUCGCCGAUGUGCCCGUGUGCUCUAGUGUUCGAUGCGUUGCACAGGUAGGCGCAGGGUCCGUCGAGCUCGCAUUCCCUUUCCCUCGGCGUCGCUCUCCCUUAGAGGCCCGCCUUGCUGCGCGCGCAUGCGCCAGCCGGUCCGGUCCAAGCAGCGCGGACGAAGGCGACGGCCACCUCCAUGGCGGCGCUGAAGGAAGGGGACGCGCACUCUCGGGGUGUACGAAGGCGGAACCGUUCUACCACGAGGGCAACCGCACAUGCACGCCACCUGUUCGAGCGAAUGCCUGAAUCCCUGAACCAGUGAGGUAACGCUCCAUAAGUUUUCUAUCUCUGUUUUUUUUAUCAUGCGCUUUAGAUUGAGAGUUCGAAUUGGUUGUGUUUUCUGCUUAUUCAGCAGCAAUUUCAACUCUAAAGCUAGCAAAUACAAUACAAGUACAACCAUGAAUAGCAAGUUCUUUUAUCUGGGUGAGCUGAUUUUGGUGAUGUUUCUUGUGUUUGUGUUUUGAGAUAGACUGACAAAUCAUUAUCAUUGACCAUCGCAAGGAGACAAGGACCAGUGCCAUUGCGAAACUAGAGCAAACUAGAUUGGGUUGUGCCUGCCUUGUACAUGGUAGACUUACCGCAACCAUGGUGAAAAUUUGAUCCUACUAACUGACAUUCCACUUUUUUCUGGGCCCAUCCGCACCCACAACAAUGUAUAUAGCCUCAUUAUUAUCUGAAGUGCCAGUGGGUAAGACGGGUAUAGCUGGACAACUUCUUUCUGACAUGACAUGGAUGAGAUGAGUAGGUCGACUCUUAUUCCUUCCAUGUUGAUCUGCUAUUUCAUUUUAUUGUAUUCCCUGAGUCCCAAAUUAAAGGCCGUUUUGGCUUUUCUAGGUGCAUAACUUUUGCUAUGCGUCUAGAUAUACGAUAUAUCUAAAUACGUAGUAAAAACUAUAUAUCUAGAACAGCCAAAAGGACCUAUAAUUUAGAAACAAGGGAUUACUUACUAAUGUGAAAUCAUUAGCAUCAUUCUUAAGUUAUAAAGCAACAUAACAAUGAACUGAUGCAAGAAAAGUGUGUCAACUUAGUAAUGUACUGCAAUAUGCGCACAAACUUAUAAGAGAAACUCAGAGAUACUUAAUUAUUCCUUUAUUUAGAAAAUUCCCUGUAACUAUAUACAUGAUAUUCACACCAAGGUCAAGAAAGAAGCAAAACUUCCAUAAACCACCCGAAAAUUGUAACUACUGCAUGCAAAAUAACAGAGUUUCUUUUCUAUUCUUAAUUAGCAAGUUAGACUCUCAUGAAGCAUGCAUUAUUGAAUAUACAAUCAUCAUGCAUUAUCUUACAUUUCUCACUAGAGAAGAACAUUCAUCCGAGAGAGGAUCAAUUAAACACAAGGAUUUCCCCAAUGGCCGCUGUCGUUGAACUUGCCUCACUUUGGUGCAUCACUGGUCACACCAAUGUUGUCAAGCCAUAGCACUAACUGAUGUGUUAAUGGCCGCAGUUUUGGUGAAUCACUUAUGCACAGACAAGCAACAUCAAUCAUCUGUAUCAUUUGCGUCUCAAAUUUCUUAUCAUACAUUGCACGGUCCAAGACAUCAGCUUCACGGUUUUCCUUUUUCAUAUGUGUAACCCAUGAGACUAACUCCCGUGCUCCCUUCGGCUUGCACAUGUCUACAGGCCUCUUUCCAGUUAAUAACUCCAGAAGGACAAUGCCAAAACUAUAAACAUCACCCUUGAAAGUGGCUACUGAAGACUGGCCGUACUCAGGGGGAAUAUAACCCAGUGUGCCAACUAGGUCAGUGGUCACAUGUGUGGCAUAGGGACAAAUAAGCCGAGCAAGCCCAAAAUCAGCCAAAUGGGCUUCAAAAUUCUCAUCUAGAAGGAUGUUACUUGACUUGACAUCACGAUGGAGAAUAUGAGGUUGGCAUGACAGAUGUAGGUAUGCCAAACCUCUUGCUGCUCCUUUUGCUAUCUGAAGCCUUCUUGGCCAGAUUAAUCUAGAGGGACCAUCUGGCUUUUCAUGAAGCCAAUGGUCUAGGCUGCCAUUUUCCAUGAAAGAGUAGAUCAGGAGUCUAUCACUGCCAAUUCUGCAGUAACCUUGCAGAAGCACAAGAUUGGGAUGCUGAGCUUUUGAUAACGUCUCCACUUCUGCUUUGAACUCCCGUUCCAUCUGACCAAAAUCACCUGAUAGUCGUUUGAUAGCGAUUGCUGCUCCAUCUUGCAAUGUUGCCUUGUACACUAGACCAAAGCCACCACAACCGAUGAUGUUAGCCUGAUCAAAGUUGUUUGUCGAUUUCAAAAUGUCAGCGAUGGUCAAUGCCUUAUCAGCCUUGUCCUGAAACAGUAGUACCAGUGAGGCUGGUGCCAACUCGAGGGCUUGAUUAGUAUCUUUGACAGCCUUUACUGUAUGAUCCUGCUUGUUGAAGCUACUCUUCAGCACAAAUAUAACAGCAAUAGAUAAAAUAAAUGCUGCCCCAACUGCAAUACCCAUAGCUAUUCCAAAUAUGAUGCCCUUGUUCUUCCUCUUAUUUGUUGCAGCAAUUGUAGGAGCAGGAGUUGAAUGACACCGGGGUAGGCCUAGGCGAAUGCCACAGAGUUUGGGGUUACCCUCAUAAGCAGAACUACUGAAUGUCGAGAAUUGACCUCC
Molecule: long non-coding RNA, 2733 nt
Filed under: Sorghum bicolor (sorghum)
Lineage: Eukaryota; Viridiplantae; Streptophyta; Magnoliopsida; Poales; Poaceae
Description: long non-coding RNA (SBIC_LNC007324)
Source: RNAcentral